GAUGAACGCUGGCGGCGUGCCUAACACAUGCAAGUCGAGCGGACAGAUGUGGUUCUUGCUUCUCUCACGUUAGUGACGGAUGAGUGAGUCACAUGUGGAUAACCUCCCUAUCUGAAUGCGGUUACUUCUGGAACCCGGACCUCAUAUCGGAUAAUAUAUUGAACCCCAUGGUUCUUUCGUGAAUGAUUUUUUAGCUGUCACUUUUAUAUCUUUCCUGGCCGGUUUAGCUAGUUUGUAAGGUGACGGCUUACCAAGGCGACGAUGCGUAGCCGAACUGAGAGGGUGAUAGGACACACUGGAACUGAGACACGGUCCAGACUCCUACGGGAGGCAGCAGUAGGGAAUAUUCCGAAGUGGGAGAAAGCCUGACGGAGCAACGCCGCGUGAGUGAAGAAGGUCUUCGGAUCGUAAAGCACUGUUAAUAGGGAAGAAGAAAUGUGUAAGUAGCAAUGGAAGUAUUGACGGUACCUAAUGAAUAAGCAACGGCUAACUACGUG
RNAcentral lists this ribosomal RNA (497 nucleotides) under uncultured bacterium. RNAcentral describes it as "partial 16S ribosomal RNA". It matches the Rfam family "Bacterial small subunit ribosomal RNA", at positions 28 to 507 of the family's 1533-position model. The record is from RNAcentral.